GGAAGUCAUGGUCACUGAAUGCUUUUCUCCAGCGCCACACUGCGGCGUAGCCAGAGUGGACCUCCACAGGACCAUUCCUGUCUGUGGUACCAUGCCCCCUUUAUGAGUUUGAGUUACCAGGGAUUGAACUUGGGACCUUGCCCUUGUGAGAUUUAAGAGGGGCUGUCUUCAUCUGUUUUCAGAAGAUGAGAAAACUACUCCUUAGAAAAGUCAGCACCCUGCUCAGAGUCAGACAGCUGGCGAGGGGCAGCUGGCCCACUUCACACUUUGCUUGUCUCCCAAGCCAUGUAAGGAAUUCGGCUGUUCUCUCUCCAACCCCUGCAGAAACCGUUCUGGACAAAGAGGGAACCUUAAAUUCACUAACUGAGAUAACCUGCACUCGUUAAGUAUUAAAUUACUGACAUUAUUUUAUUUUUUUAAAUCUAAGCGAUGGAUAUUUCCCAUUUAUGAGCUGGAAUUGAAGGAA
This 466-nucleotide long non-coding RNA is filed under the name Heterocephalus glaber (naked mole-rat). RNAcentral's name for it is "lncRNA (ENSHGLG00000045959.1)". Lineage: Eukaryota; Metazoa; Chordata; Mammalia; Rodentia; Bathyergidae. The record is from RNAcentral.